Long non-coding RNA from Passer domesticus (house sparrow), 4811 nucleotides. RefSeq lists it as uncharacterized. The transcript has 2 exons. The record is from RefSeq and is a predicted model, not a curated record. Lineage: Eukaryota; Metazoa; Chordata; Aves; Passeriformes; Passeridae.
CAUGGCAGCAGCGAGUGCCAAGUGGUAAUAACCAGCUGCAUCAAAAGGGUCCUGAAAUAAGAGGCUCAAAGAUAGUACAACCAGUGCAAGAGGACAGCAGAGCUCAGGUUUAAUGUCUAGGAGAAAAGCCAAAGGUGUAAAAAGAUAGCAAGGAGGAUAAAGAGGCGUGGGAGACUGGAGGAGUGGGAAUAAACACAACUGCCACAUGGAGCAGGUUAGUGAUUAGUAUACUUGUCUAGCCAGGCCCUGGGCCUGAUCCAACGUUAAUCCAUCUAAAGUCCAGCAUUAAUUCAAACUGCCUUUUGUCUGUGUAGACUCAGAAUGUACAGUCUGUGUAUUCUCUGUUCUCUCCAUGUGUAUGUGAGCAAGAGACCUGCCAAAGAAAUACAAUUCAGACUAGCUGGUAAGCAGAAGGAAAUCUAGGAAGAUCCAAGGUCUGAAGUGGAGGCUGGAUGAAGGGCCCAGGGUCAGGCCAUAGUUGAACUUAAGGUGUGAGGGAAAUGGGAAACCAUCCACAUAGAACAAGGGCAUGGCUCUGUCCUGAGAGCGUGCUCAGGCAGGUCAGCCAGGGCAGGGAGUAGGACUGAGCUAUUUGAGCUGGUUGUUCCACCAUGCUUGGGGGUGCCCGCAAAGGUUCUGUUCUCCUGUCCUGUCCUGGUCAGCCAGGAGAUUUUGCUUUAGAUCCAAAUCUCCUGGCCAGGAUUUCUUCUAUUAAUCAAAUAUCAGCCCUGAUUCUCUGCUGGCACAGAUUAUCUUUCACAAAAUUACCAAUUUGUGGCAACUGAUAUGGCCAUUGGUCUAAAUUCUCUGAGUGACAACAUGGUUGAAUACCUACAAAUAUAAUAAAGGCAGAUAUGCCAUCAAUUCUUAAUCCUCCCACUGUUUUCCAGGCCAGUCAAUAGGGUAGGGAUUAGGGAUGGAGAAUACAGUCAUAGUCAGUUCUUAAGUUUACAGCUGCAGAUCAACAGGAGCUUGUUGAAGUCGCAGAUUUAGAGCUCAAUUCCCUUAGAAUCUCAUUUCUGAAAGUGCAGCAGAAUCAUAAAUAUAAAAAUUGUUUUUUAGGAAAAUGUUGUACAAUAUGAGUAAUGAUAGUGACAGCUUAGAAACAAAACACCAAAGGGAAAUAAUUCUGCAUUCUCAACUAAAUAUCUCGUUUGGGAAAUCUAUUUCUGGGACUAAGUUUUCUAGUAGGCAAAAAAAAAAAAAUUGCUGCAAUUCAAACUCAGCAGUUGCCAGGUGCCCAAUAAGCAGUAUUUGGCAUUGAUAAACAAUGUGGAGGGGCUGGGAGGUGGUGAAUGUGUGUCACAUCAGUGAAAGUCAUAGAAUUUACAGCUGGCUAGCAAGUCCCAACAAAGACAUUUGCUAUCAGUGAAAACUCACAAUGUCUUACAGAAAACAUACUAAGAAGGGGUUAAAGCAAAAUCUCAGAAAGCAAACAAUGAGAGAAGAAAAUUAGCAUGUGAAGAGACAUUAGAAGCAUAAUUGCUGUCAAAGACACCAAAAAUAUCAGAAGUCUCAUUAAUUUUAUGUAAAAAUUAUCUGUGUAUAAAGUAUUACCACAUUCAUGAGCUUUCUGAAAUUCAGGUUCUUCUAAUUCAUCUGUAAGAAAGAAAAAAAUAUAUAUUAGCUAUAGUAUCUUGGUCAUUUUUCAGUUUCAAAUCUCCCAAAAUAAAGCUGUAUUUAGUAGAUAAUUCUUUAAGUCAUAAGAAUUUGAUAGAUCCUGGAAAUUGAGACAAAAAUAAGUAUUCUGACCCAAAGCUAACAGGGGUUAGCUGACACAAUUCACUGCUUCUGCAUGGCUAUCAUCAAGUAGUUACCUCUGCUCAGUAAGGUGGGGAGCAAAUCACAGUGAGAAUAAAAGCCAACCUGUCCUGCAGGAGGGAGGCAUUUCUGCUGCAUUAAAAUACAAGUGGGCAGCAAAGAAAUGACCAUUCUCCACAACCUGCUCAUAAAAUGAGGUUGCAAAGAGCCCUUAAUAUUUUUAGUGUCACUCCCAGGAUAAUGGGGAGAGAGGUGGGAAAGCAAGUUAUUUAGGGUUGUUGGUGUAGAUAAAUGUCAGACUUUUGUAGCCAUUCCAAUAGAAGGUAGGUGAAAAAAAAUCACUCAUUUUUAAAAAAUUUAGCUUAAUUCUAUAAACUUUGUAACUAUAGAUCUAGCUUUACAUUUAAACACAGCACAUCUGUAGAGCAUUUAAGAAUUACUAUUUUGAGCAGCUGAUAUUUCUCAAGGCAUUUCAGUUGUCAUGCUGCAUUUCAGGAAUAUUUUCACUGUCUUUCAUACACUUGAUGCAGUAGAAGUGGUACUGAGGGUAUGAAGGAUAUAUACAAAAGCAGAGGCUCACAGACCUAAUUAAGCUGGUAGAAAGCUACUUUACUAGUCUUUGAGAAUGACCUCUCACUGACUGUUUACUUCUAGAAGUCCUUUUUAUAAAUGCUUUUCUGACUUUGGUGGAUGAAAGCCACUGAUGUUUACAGUAGUUGUAACUUAAUACUCUAAAUAUUUCAUCAGGGAAGUGCUCAUAAGUAAAUACUUCUCAGUAGAUUGAUGUAGAUGGAAGAAUUGAAAAUCUAUUUAGUCAGAUCACACAACAAAAUAUCAAGUGAAUGUUGAAAAUGCUUGCUCUGGAUAAGUUGCGUUAUGAGAACCAAUUGAGCUAUUUAAGAGAAAGUGGUAAAGAUGGUACUAUGAGCUUGGGAAGAUGCAAAAGAAGGUGAUACUUAGGUUAGGGAGGAGAUGUAGUGAAAAACUUUCAACAGCAAAAUAGCAGUAUGUCCAUUAAGCCCCUGACAUGCUUUAGUACCUUAGAGGUUUGAGUUUUGUUCCCAGGCUUUUCAUUAGGGCACAGGAGGCGAGAUGUGCAGGCAUUUUGCACGUUGCCAGGGCAGGUCUGACACACCCUAGUUAUUGUUCACACUCACACACAUGCUCUGAUUUGCAGAAUUAAACCAAUGUGCCUGACUCCAACCUACACAGCAGCUCCUGUCAACCUGGAGCCUGCAGGCCUGUCUCUCAGGAUGGCACUAAUGGAGAUAACACUUCCUUAGAUAUUGGACAAGCAAAUGCAUCACCAACAGCCUGUGGUGGAAUAAGAAACCACUGCCUCUCCUCAGUUCAGCAAGACUAUUACUGAUGCCUCAGGUUUUAGCUUUUAUAUUUUUCAGAUUCUGGGCCGCUUUAGUGUGUGAGUCUGGCCUUCAUAUUAGGGGACAGUGAGCUCUCUUCACAGAGUGGUUAGACAAAACAAAUUGUUCUCUAGCUGGAGACCAAGGACAACCAAUCCAGAUCUCAGGCCCAAGUGCACAAACACCAGUGGACUGACGAGAGAAAAGCAAAAAGGAUGGGACUUCAUGGGCUAAAGCUGAAAUUAGGCAAUUAAUUUGAAUAUGCUAACAGACCAAAACUUAUAAAAGUGUGAGACCCAUGACUGGUUGUCCAUUUUGGGUUCGCCUGGGGUGUAACCCUGGGCUCUUAUGCUGCCCAAGGUAGAUCUACUGAGACCUCCUAAUAAAUACCUACUUUAUUCUUUAGCUAGCCUCUGUCCUAGGAUGGCCUUCACAAGGCAUCAUUACAUCACCCUGCCUUACAUUAAGUCUAUGAAGGUGAAACCCCAGUUACCCCAAUUGCUUAUGCACAGCACAGAGAAAUAAUGGCUGUAUCAGAGAUUAUGUUACUAAGACUAGAUUUUGCUACUUUUCUAUACCUUCGAAAAUUAAAUCAAGCAUGAAGAGGUGUGUUUGCAUUAGCUGUCAAUAAUUAUUAGGCUGUGCUACCUUUCCCAGGAGGAAAAGCCAGCAGUGUUUGGGUGAACAUACUGCUUUUUAUAAUGCAGCCAUGUGAAAUUAUAAUUUGCAAUUCAGUCAUGUAAAAGCUUGGAGAUCUGUGCAGCACAAUUAGAGAGGUUUUAAAAGCCUGUUGUUUAAAUUCACUCAGGAAAAAAUAGAAACGACGAAAGACUUACAAAUCCUCUUCUGGGAAAAGCCUUGAAACAGCUGAAGAAUAGCAAAGAUGAUAGAAAGGAUUUUUACAUGCCAUAUCAAAGAUCCAAUCAAUUACCAAGAUAUUUCAAAAUAGGUGUAAAUGCUGGGAUGUCAUUGAAAAAAUUUUAUAAUAGGGGUAUAGGAACUACACAUGUACCUUGUGUAAUAAAAAGAAGUAAAAGUCAUACUUACCUAUUCUAUACACAGAGCAAACAUCUGUGAUGGAGGUUUCUUUCAACAAAUGUACUACUUCUUCCAAAUUUUUUUCUUUUGAAAAAAAAGAUUGCUCUUCUUCUUCAAGAAAAUCCAGAUCUUGUGGUCUAGUAAAGAAAAGAGUAACUUUGAAGGUGCCUGAAAGCAGAUUUGGCUUAUGGAGCUCACUGCAUCACAUAUGAACUUGUUAGAAAAACUAAUACAGUCUUUACAUUAUUGGGUGUGCUGUGUUCAAAAUUAGUUUCAGUCAAUGUAUAAAAUAUGCAUGUAAACUGAUAGUAACUAUGCUUACAACUGGCAGUUUCUGCCAUAUCAGAGUAAGCUUUAUGUCAGUGUUAUUGGAUAGCAUUUUCUGAGAGUAUUUAUUUAAAGCAUGAUUCUUGAAGGACUUUAUGGUAUUUAUUUCCUAAUACAAGCUUUAAGUUACAUAUGAAAUGGACCUGCAAGCAGCAUUUAAGAACUCCUUGUUUCAGCAUGCAAACAGUUCAGGCAUAUUAAUAAGAGCAGCCUAUUUACAUGGUGCCAGUGCAUGAUGAAGUACACCCUUUUUAGAGGUUUCACUCUGCAUUAUUAGCAACUUUGCAAAGGCCCCAUUAGAAACAAGUUAAAGGAUAUAACUGA